UUUUCUAGGAAUACUAUAGUAUAGUUUAGUUCAGAUUAAUAACCUAUUCAAUAUCUUUUUUGAAGAAAAUGUUCGAGGGUGUGACAGCAUUCAAGGUGGUUAAACGAAUUGAAAGCAUACAAGAAGAAGAUGAAGAUGAGUUGACUGAGAACAACAGAGACAAAAGAUCAGAAUGCUAAAAUAUCGAUACAAUGUAUAGAUAUAAUAAAAAUACCAAU
Eurytemora carolleeae is the source of this 218-nucleotide long non-coding RNA. RefSeq lists it as uncharacterized. The transcript is spliced from 3 exons. Lineage: Eukaryota; Metazoa; Arthropoda; Copepoda; Calanoida; Temoridae. The record is from RefSeq and is a predicted model, not a curated record.